CUUUCGCCACUCCUAUCUUGAAAG
RNAcentral lists this microRNA (24 nucleotides) under Panine betaherpesvirus 2 (Chimpanzee cytomegalovirus). RNAcentral's name for it is "miR-US5-2-5p". Lineage: Duplodnaviria; Heunggongvirae; Peploviricota; Herviviricetes; Herpesvirales; Orthoherpesviridae. The record is from RNAcentral.